CCUACGGGAGGCAGCAGUGGGGAAUCUUGCGCAAUGGGCGAAAGCCUGACGCAGCCAUGCCGCGUGAAUGAUGAAGGUCUUAGGAUUGUAAAAUUCUUUCACCGGGGACGAUAAUGACGGUACCCGGAGAAGAAGCCCCGGCUAACUUCGUGCCAGCAGCCGCGGUAAUACGAAGGGGGCUAGCGUUGCUCGGAAUUACUGGGCGUAAAGGGAGCGUAGGCGGACAUUUAAGUCAGGGGUGAAAUCCCAGAGCUCAACUCUGGAACUGCCUUUGAUACUGGGUGUCUUGAGUGUGAUAGAGGUAUGUGGAACUCCGAGUGUAGAGGUGAAAUUCGUAGAUAUUCGGAAGAACACCAGUGGCGAAGGCGACAUACUGGAUCAUUACUGACGCUGAGGCUCGAAAGCGUGGGGAGCAAACAGGAUUAGAUACCCUGGUAGUCCACGCCGUAAACGAUGAUUGCUAGUUGUCGGGAUGUUUACAUCUCGGUGACGCAGCUAACGCAUUAAGCAAUCCGCCUGGGGAGUACGGUCGCAAGAUUAAAACUUAAAGAAUAGAG
RNAcentral lists this ribosomal RNA (557 nucleotides) under uncultured bacterium. Its description in RNAcentral is "bacterial SSU rRNA". It matches the Rfam family "Bacterial small subunit ribosomal RNA", at positions 338 to 914 of the family's 1533-position model. The record is from RNAcentral.